This 544-nucleotide ribosomal RNA is filed under the name uncultured bacterium. RNAcentral describes it as "partial 16S ribosomal RNA". It matches the Rfam family "Bacterial small subunit ribosomal RNA", at positions 355 to 889 of the family's 1533-position model. The record is from RNAcentral.
UGGGGAAUCUUGGACAAUGGGGGCAACCCUGAUCCAGCAAUGCCGCGUGUGGGAUGAAGGCCUUCGGGUUGUAAACCACUUUUGGCGGGGGCGAAAUAUCGAGUGCUAAUACCAUUCGGUGAUGACGGUACCCGCAGAAUAAGCACCGGCUAACUACGUGCCAGCAGCCGCGGUAAUACGUAGGGUGCAAGCGUUAAUCGGAAUUACUGGGCGUAAAGCGUGCGCAGGCGGUUAGGUAAGACAGGUGUGAAAUUCCCGGGCUCAACCUGGGAACUGCAUUUGUGACUGCCUGACUAGAGUGCGGCAGAGGGGAGUGGAAUUCCGCGUGUAGCAGUGAAAUGCGUAGAUAUGCGGAGGAACACCGAUGGCGAAGGCAACUCCCUGGGCCUGCACUGACGCUCAUGCACGAAAAGCGUGGGGAGCAAAACAGGAUUAGAUACCCUGGUAGUCCACGCCCUAAAACGAUGUCGACUAGUUGUUGGACGGGUUACUGUUCAGUAACGAAGCUAACGCGUGAAGUCGACCGCCUGGGGAGUACGGCCGC